AAACAUUGAUAGCGUUACACCCCACUAUCCGCCCGGGAACUACGAGCAAUAGCUUAAAACCCAAAGGACUUGGCGGUGCUUUAGAUCCACUUAGAGGAGCCUGUUCUAGAACCGAUAAUCCCCGUUCAACCUCACCUUUCCUAGUUUAACCCGCCUAUAUACCGCCGUCGCCAGCUUACCCUGUGAAGGCCUUAUAGUAAGCAAAAAUGAUCUAAAUCCAAGACGUCAGGUCGAGGUGUAGCGCAUGGAAAGGAAAGAAAUGGGCUACAUUCCCUACUUUAGGGUAUACGAAUAAUACACUGAAACGCGUAUUUGAAGGAGGAUUUAAUAGUAAGUAGAAAAUAGAGUGUCCU
This 353-nucleotide ribosomal RNA is filed under the name Holocentrus rufus (longspine squirrelfish). Its description in RNAcentral is "partial 12S ribosomal RNA". It matches the Rfam family "Bacterial small subunit ribosomal RNA", at positions 801 to 1360 of the family's 1533-position model. Lineage: Eukaryota; Metazoa; Chordata; Actinopteri; Holocentriformes; Holocentridae. The record is from RNAcentral.